CUGUGGUUGUCUAAUGCCUAACCUCAAAUAAAAUGUACAGAAAUAUACAAAUUUUUUAUCAUAAAAAUCAGUUAUAUUCAUAUUUUGAAUAAUUUAUGUUUAUCUAUGUAAAUUGAAACCUUAAGGUGGAUCAUAUAUAAUCAAAUUGUUUUCAAGGGCCUUCACCACCUUUUUAUGCAUUAUAUUCACAAAAAUAAGAAAGAAUGGAAGAUAAACACUCCAAAAGAAUAAACCAGUAUCUCCAACAUUUGACUGAGGAGCGAGACUAUCUCACAGAUAAUGUAUAUAGGAUUAUUAAGCAUGCCACUAAUCAAGUUGAAUCUCUAACUAAAACCCAAACCCCAUCAUCAGAAAAAGAGAAAUUGCUUACAUUUCUUACAAAAUCUUUGGCCCUAUUCUCCGAACUCAACUCCACCAUACUUAAAUAUCUAGAGUGUGAAGGUAUCCCAGAAAACUCGAAACCACCUCAAGAGAAUUUACUAGAAACUUCUGGCCAUAACAUUCAAGAAGUUGAAGAUUACUAUAAAGGCUUUGACGUGAUUAAAGGUAUGCCAGUAGCAACAGAAGAGGGCCCAAAAGUCCCAAAUACCCAAGCGCAAAAUGGUUAUUAUUUCCAAAAGCCUUUAAAUGACUCCACUUUGAAAGCCAUUUGCAACACCAUCAUUAAAAGCACCCAAGAAAAGUCUAUGGCUACAAGAGUCAAACCAACUUCAUUAAUUCAAGAAGAAUGUGACUCAGUUUCAACUGUUAGCACCAGCACAUAUUGUCACCCUUUAUCGCAACUGGCUCCCCCAACUGAAAUCCCCGAGGAGUAUGAUAAUAAAGACCUGAAAAAGGUCAGAGAGAACAUGAUGUACCUCAAAGAGAAAUUAGGGUUAGAAGAUUUAAAUCAGUUGUCUCUUCAAUAUAAUAAGCAUUUCCAGGAGGCCCGCUACCACUAUGAAGAGCAAGUGAAAGAGAGUGUUGAGCAAGCCAAGGACAUUAAAACAGAUAAUAUCUUAAUUAAUAAUGCAUUUAAAGUGGAUAGGGAUAAUGGUGGUGUGGAGCAAGCGAGUGUAGUUCCAGAGCAAGUGUUAAAUAAUGAGCUGCCGGUAAAGAGUACUGGGGCUGUUAAGAAACAAAUGGGGGCUCAGAAGGAUCUGAUUGAAUUCAGUAGUGAUUCACCAUCAUCGGAAAGAGAAAAUUCCAACAAAGUAUCUUCCUGGUUAACGAGCAACGAAACUGAAGUAAUCAGUUCAGAACAACCCCAUCGUACAACCAAAUCUGCAUUAGAAAAAUUGGCCCAGAAUAAACGUCAUGACCGUAACGCAGAAAUUUGGGACAAAAUCAGAAACGACGUACCAGAACUGAAUUUUGUGCCCGCAACGAAAGUGAUAAAAAACGUUUUAAGCUCCAGCUCCUCAGAGAGAUCGUUUAACAAUAAAUCCCAUAAAAAGUCUGCAAAGACUCGAACGUCACUAUAUACCUUAAACCCCAUGGAACUACCUUCGAUUGGUGCGAUUUGCGUCUUUUCCCACAUAGUCUCGCCCGCAGAGUUUUACCUGCAAGUCUGCAACGACACGAACAGUUUUAAUGAGGACAUGAUUCGUCAUAAAUUGGACUCAAAAUUCAGCAAGAGCGAGUCGCCAUUCAAAACGAAACAAAUGGCCAGAGAGAGUUUGGGACAAUUCUGUCGCGGUUACGUCUUAAAAGAGCAAUCCUGGUUCAGAUUGAGGGUCCUAAAUUGGAAAAUAGAUUGUUCGUCCGACGAAGUGGAAGUGCAAUCAGUCGAUUAUGGGUUUAAAUGUGUCACCUCCUAUAAAUAUUUAAGAGAAUUGACGCGGGACCUCGCAGAAGUUCCUAUGUUAUGUAUUAAAUGCCAUUUCCCUUUGUUGUACCCUCCCGGUUCGACUUAUUCCAAUCGGCUCCACUAUUGGCCCGAUAAUACCAAAGAAGAAUUAGAGGAAAUUGUUAAUUUACAUUCGGGAACCGACUCUCUAGCUGAUGUCAUUUUUUUUAAAAUCGUUUUUGCCCAGUUAGACGGCGAUUCCCUCGGGGUGGACCUAGAAGAUUACGCCGGCAAACACCGUGACACUCUCGGUCGUUUCUUGGUCGACAUGCGUCUGGCUCAAGAGAUCCUCGACGAAUACGAGGAUAAUCCGGAAUUGGGCGAGUUCUUGGACGAUCUGGAUCGGUUGGAGGAGCACCACGCAGACAAUCAAAACGAAUACUUGUUCGGCUACGACGCGAAAGAUGAGGUGCGAGUAUGUCGAUUUACAAGGAAAGACGGCACCUGCUAUAAAGGGAAAAAUUGCAAGUUGGAACACGUUAUUCUCAAAGAUUGUUCAAAUUUACUUAGAAAACUUCCAACGAAGAAAUAACUUCGACGAGAAAAAAUGGAAAAGGUUCUUCAAUAAGCACAUCUCUUAUAAACUAUUCUUUGCCCAUAUCAGGUCGAAUGAACGUCCCUUAAAAGUACAACUGGAGACAUUAAAAGGCGUAGAUAUCGGACCCACUUUAGUAAAAGAACAAUUAGCCGAGCCCAGAACUAUGGAUAGCUAUUUAAGUGAUGACCCGCUAAAUAAAAAAAAUGUGCCCUCUU
Molecule: unclassified non-coding RNA, 2581 nt
Filed under: Anthonomus grandis grandis
Lineage: Eukaryota; Metazoa; Arthropoda; Insecta; Coleoptera; Curculionidae
Description: uncharacterized LOC126749349
Source: RNAcentral